AACGAACGCUGGCGGCAUGCCUAACACAUGCAAGUCGAACGAGACCUUCGGGUCUAGUGGCGAACGGGUGCGUAACGCGUGGGAACCUGCCCUUAGGUUCGGAAUAACUCCCCGAAAGGGGUGCUAAUACCGGAUAAUGUCUUCGGACCAAAGAUUUAUCGCCUUUGGAUGGGCCCGCGUUGGAUUAGCUAGUUGGUAGGGUAAACGCCUACCAAGGCGACGAUCCAUAGCUGGUCUGAGAGGAUGAUCAGCCACACUGGGACUGAGACACGGCCCAGACUCCUACGGGAGGCAGCAGUGGGGAAUAUUGGACAAUGGGCGAAAGCCUGAUCCAGCAAUGCCGCGUGAGUGAUGAAGGCCUUAGGGUUGUAAAGCUCUUUUACCCGGGAUGAUAAUGACAGUACCGGGAGAAUAAGCUCCGGCUAACUCCGUG
Molecule: ribosomal RNA, 433 nt
Filed under: uncultured bacterium
Lineage: Bacteria
Description: partial 16S ribosomal RNA
Rfam family: Bacterial small subunit ribosomal RNA
Source: RNAcentral